This is a long non-coding RNA of Dermacentor silvarum, 269 nucleotides long. RefSeq lists it as uncharacterized. The record is from RefSeq and is a predicted model, not a curated record. The transcript has 3 exons. NCBI's taxonomy places the organism in Eukaryota, Metazoa, Arthropoda, Arachnida, Ixodida, Ixodidae.
UUCUACAGACCUGAGGACACACACCUUGACAAGGAUACUUGUCGGAAAGAGCGUUUGAACAUACUAUACUACACCAAAGAAGAAGCAGACGUAUACUUGCAUGAUGUCUGUGGCAAGGCACAGGUUGUCUUCUCAACAUACCAGCAGCUUGACCACCCAGGAAUUUGGUCUGUUGGUGAUGCCUUCGUUUUUUCAAAGAUGUAUGACAGCAGCACUGGAAAGUUCUUUGAUGUCCCACCCCAAUACCAACUGGUCGGACGAGAGGUGAG